RNAcentral lists this transfer RNA (73 nucleotides) under Felis catus (domestic cat). It matches the Rfam family "tRNA". Rfam says of the family: Transfer RNA (tRNA) molecules are approximately 80 nucleotides in length. Their secondary structure includes four short double-helical elements and three loops (D, anti-codon, and T loops). Further hydrogen bonds mediate the characteristic L-shaped molecular structure. tRNAs have two regions of fundamental functional importance: the anti-codon, which is responsible for specific mRNA codon recognition, and the 3' end, to which the tRNAs corresponding amino acid is attached (by aminoacyl-tRNA synthetases). tRNAs cope with the degeneracy of the genetic code in two manners: having more than one tRNA (with a specific anti-codon) for a particular amino acid; and 'wobble' base-pairing, i.e. permitting non-standard base-pairing at the 3rd anti-codon position. Lineage: Eukaryota; Metazoa; Chordata; Mammalia; Carnivora; Felidae. The record is from Rfam by way of RNAcentral.
GGCUGGAUGGCUCAGUUGGUAGAGCAUGUGACUCUUGAUUUCAGGGUUGUGAGUUUGAGCCCCACUUUGGGCG